UACGUAGGGGGCAAGCGUUGUCCGGAUUUAUUGGGCGUAAAGAGCGUGUAGGCGGCUAGGUAGGUCCGUUGUGAAAACUCGAGGCUCAACCUCGAGACGCCGGUGGAAACCAUCUAGCUAGAGUCCGGAAGAGGAGAGUGGAAUUCCUGGUGUAGCGGUGAAAUGCGCAGAUAUCAGGAAGAACACCAGUGGCGAAGGCGGCUCUCUGGGACGUGACUGACGCUGAGACGCGAAAGCGUGGGGAGCGAACCGG
RNAcentral lists this ribosomal RNA (253 nucleotides) under uncultured bacterium. RNAcentral's name for it is "partial 16S ribosomal RNA". It matches the Rfam family "Bacterial small subunit ribosomal RNA", at positions 524 to 776 of the family's 1533-position model. The record is from RNAcentral.